CCUACGGGAGACAGCAGUGAGGAAUAUUGGUCAAUGGACGAGAGUCUGAACCAGCCAAGUCGCGUGAAGGAUGAAGGCCCUGUGGGUUGUAAACUUCUUUUAUAUGGGAAUAAAAUGUUCCACGUGUGGCCUUUUGUAUGUACCUUAUGAAUAAGGAUCGGCUAACUCCGUGCCAGCAGCCGCGGUAAUACGGAGGAUCCGAGCGUUAUCCGGAUUUAUUGGGUUUAAAGGGAGCGUAGGUGGAUUGUUAAGUCAGUUGUGAAAGUUUGCGGCUCAACCGUAAAAUUGCAGUUGAAACUGGCAGGCUGGAGUACAGGAGAGGUGGGCGGAAUGCGCGGUGUAGCGGUGAAAUGCUUAGAUAUCACGAAGAACCCCGAUUGCGAAGGCAGCGCACUGGACUGAAACUGACACUGAGGCUCGAAAGCGUGGGUAUCAAACAGGAUUAGAUACCCGAGUAGUC
This 460-nucleotide ribosomal RNA is filed under the name uncultured bacterium. Its description in RNAcentral is "partial 16S ribosomal RNA". It matches the Rfam family "Bacterial small subunit ribosomal RNA", at positions 338 to 795 of the family's 1533-position model. The record is from RNAcentral.